Molecule: long non-coding RNA, 762 nt
Filed under: Cyanistes caeruleus (blue tit)
Lineage: Eukaryota; Metazoa; Chordata; Aves; Passeriformes; Paridae
Description: lncRNA (ENSCCEG00000020999.1)
Source: RNAcentral
UUAACCUGAAAUGGGACUACAAGGAACUUAAAUGCUUUACCAGGCUUCUGCUAGCCCCACAGAGCUUACACUUGCUCAGCUGUGGAUGUCCUUUGAACCAGGUAAAGGAGGCACUGGAGGAGAAAAUUUCUGUCCCAUUUGGAAUAAAGAAAACCCAGAGACAGAGUUAUCCCUGAAUACAAAAACCCUGGGGAGGCAGGCUCCUGUGAGGUGAGGGGACAAGUUGUGAGCGGUCUCGGCACGGUGCCCACUGAGCUGCUGUGGCUGUGGGUCUCCAUGCCUUGGUGACCCAUUCCCAGCACAGGAACUUGUGCCCCUCCAGGACCAGAGCACCGUGUGGGUGGAGCUGGGGCUGCCUGCAGUGGUGACCCAAAUUCUCAUUUAUUUACCCAAAAUCCAUGUGAGAGCUGUGAAUGAGGAAAGGUGCACCUGCAAUUCCCCUUUUUUUUCCUCCCUCUUUUCCCUUUCCCAACCCAAAUGCUCCUUUUCACUCCUGGACCAUGUCCAGAUGCUGAUGGAGGUUAUUGGGGUAUGGAUGCAGUCCUUUUCCCACCUCACUGCCCCUAAGGCAGAUCUCCCUCCUUCACCAGUUAUCUGAGUGUCUAAACCUUAAAUCCUAUUGCAGUAAUAUUGUAUUUAACAUUGCUGAGGCUUUUUGAAGGAUGGGGCCUAUUUUGAUGAAUUUCUUCAGUUUGAAAUGGUUUGUGGUGCAAAAAGCUUUUUAAAAAUAUGGAAACUGUUCAUAUUUUGACUGUUAAAUUU